RNAcentral lists this ribosomal RNA (587 nucleotides) under Lysinibacillus sphaericus. RNAcentral's name for it is "bacterial SSU rRNA". It matches the Rfam family "Bacterial small subunit ribosomal RNA", at positions 338 to 916 of the family's 1533-position model. Lineage: Bacteria; Bacillati; Bacillota; Bacilli; Caryophanales; Bacillaceae. The record is from RNAcentral.
CCUACGGGAGGCAGCAGUAGGGAAUCUUCCACAAUGGGCGAAAGCCUGAUGGAGCAACGCCGCGUGAGUGAAGAAGGUUUUCGGAUCGUAAAACUCUGUUGUAAGGGAAGAACAAGUACAGUAGUAACUGGCUGUACCUUGACGGUACCUUAUUAGAAAGCCACGGCUAACUACGUGCCAGCAGCCGCGGUAAUACGUAGGUGGCAAGCGUUGUCCGGAAUUAUUGGGCGUAAAGCGCGCGCAGGCGGUCCUUUAAGUCUGAUGUGAAAGCCCACGGCUCAACCGUGGAGGGUCAUUGGAAACUGGGGGACUUGAGUGCAGAAGAGGAAAGUGGAAUUCCAAGUGUAGCGGUGAAAUGCGUAGAGAUUUGGAGGAACACCAGUGGCGAAGGCGACUUUCUGGUCUGUAACUGACGCUGAGGCGCGAAAGCGUGGGGAGCAAACAGGAUUAGAUACCCUGGUAGUCCACGCCGUAAACGAUGAGUGCUAAGUGUUAGGGGGUUUCCGCCCCUUAGUGCUGCAGCUAACGCAUUAAGCACUCCGCCUGGGGAGUACGGUCGCAAGACUGAAACUCAAAGGAAUUGACGG